Molecule: ribosomal RNA, 253 nt
Filed under: uncultured bacterium
Lineage: Bacteria
Description: partial 16S ribosomal RNA
Rfam family: Bacterial small subunit ribosomal RNA
Source: RNAcentral
UACGUAGGGUGCGAGCGUUGUCCGGAAUUACUGGGCGUAAAGAGCUCGUAGGUGGUUUGUCGCGUUAUUCGUGAAAACCGGAGGCUUAACCUUCGGCGUGCGGGCGAUACGGGCAGACUGGAGUACUGCAGGGGAGACUGGAAUUCCUGGUGUAGCGGUGGAAUGCGCAGAUAUCAGGAGGAACACCGGUGGCGAAGGCGGGUCUCUGGGCAGUAACUGACGCUGAGGAGCGAAAGCGUGGGGAGCGAACAGG